Molecule: non-coding RNA, 109 nt
Organism: Leisingera methylohalidivorans DSM 14336
Lineage: Bacteria; Pseudomonadati; Pseudomonadota; Alphaproteobacteria; Rhodobacterales; Roseobacteraceae
Source: Rfam
GGCCACCUUAGUAGCUUGUUCCAAACGGAACCUGCGGGCGGGGGGCUUUCAACAUAGCGGGUCCAAAGACAAUAACCUAAGGGCCUGCACGCUAAACGGAAGACAGAAA